GAUGAACGCUGGCGGCGUGCCUAAUACAUGCAAGUCGAGCGAACGGACGAGAAGCUUGCUUCUCUGAUGUUAGCGGCGGACGGGUGAGUAACACGUGGAUAACCUACCUAUAAGACUGGGAUAACUUCGGGAAACCGGAGCUAAUACCGGAUGAUAUUUUGAACCGCAUGGUUCAAAAGUGAAAGACGGUCUUGCUGUCACUUAUAGAUGGAUCCGCGCUGCAUUAGCUAGUUGGUAAGGUAACGGCUUACCAAGGCAACGAUGCAUAGCCGACCUGGAGGGGGGUUGGGCCACAGGGGAGUUGAGCGACGACCCAGACGCCGAGGGGGGGCAGAAGCAGGAAAUCUUCGGAAAAGGGGGAAAGCCUGGAGGAGCAACGCCGGGGGGGUGAAGAAGGGCUGCGUGCCGUAAAACUCUGUUUUUGGGGAAAAACAUUUGGGUAAGUAACGGGGCAAUUUUGGCGGGAACCAAUAAAGAAACCCCGGGCAACCAACGG
Molecule: ribosomal RNA, 496 nt
Filed under: uncultured bacterium
Lineage: Bacteria
Description: partial 16S ribosomal RNA
Rfam family: Bacterial small subunit ribosomal RNA
Source: RNAcentral